RNAcentral lists this ribosomal RNA (239 nucleotides) under uncultured bacterium. RNAcentral's name for it is "partial 16S ribosomal RNA". It matches the Rfam family "Bacterial small subunit ribosomal RNA", at positions 15 to 235 of the family's 1533-position model. The record is from RNAcentral.
GAUCCUGGCUCAGGAUGAACGCUGGCGGCGUGCUUAACACAUGCAAGUCGAGCGAAGCAAUUUAAGUGAAGUUUUCGGAUGGAUCUUAAAUUGACUGAGCGGGCGGACGGGUGAGUAACGCGUGGAUAACCUGCCUCACGACAGGGGGAUAACAGUUAGAAAUGACUGCUAAUACCGCAUAAGCGCACGGUACCGCAUGGUACAGUGUGAAAACUCCGGUGGUGUGAGAUGGAUCCGCG